UGGGGAAUUUUGCACAAUGGGGGAAACCCUGAUGCAGCGACGCCGCGUGAUUUAGAAGGCCUUCGGGUUGUAAAAAUCUUUUCUAUGGGAAGAAAAUGACAGUACCAUAGGAAUAAGGACCGGCUAAUUACGUGCCAGCAGCCGCGGUAAUACGUAAGGUCCGAGCGUUGUCCGGAAUCAUUGGGCGUAAAGGGUACGUAGGCGGGUAAGCAAGUUAGAAGUGAAAUCCUAUAGCUCAACUAUAGUAAGCUUUUAAAACUGCUCAUCUUGAGGUAUGGAAGGGAAAGUGGAAUUCCUAGUGUAGCGGUGAAAUGCGCAGAUAUUAGGAGGAAUACCGGUGGCGAAGGCGACUUUCUGGCCAUAACCUGACGCUGAGGUACGAAAGCGUGGGUAGCAAACAGA
RNAcentral lists this ribosomal RNA (402 nucleotides) under bacterium. RNAcentral describes it as "partial 16S ribosomal RNA". It matches the Rfam family "Bacterial small subunit ribosomal RNA", at positions 355 to 776 of the family's 1533-position model. The record is from RNAcentral.